CGGAUUUCCUGCGGGUCCGGCUGCCUCUAUUCGAGGAGCGCCAGGAGUCCCUUCUGUUCUCCUCGGGCUCGGAAGUAGAAAGGAUGGUGUCCGUGUGGAGGCGCUGUGUUUCAGGGGUGUGAGACACGGAUACAUCUGUGUGAGGAUCACAAAGCCAACAGAUUGGUGGCCGCUGUGGCGAGGUCGACCAGAUGGCCCGACAGGUUGUUGGGGAUUUUUGUUACUAUCUGUACUGUAAUAGUAUCCAAUUGAAGACCACCAGAGAAGGAUGUUGAAAUGAAGAACUGUCUUAACACACUGAGAAGUUGGGGAACCUCUCCUUCCAGCCACGAGGCCCUGCCCUGCAGCAACCGACCUGGAAAACCAGACCCCAGCCCCUGCAGCAAUGGGCUCCAGGAUUCAGUGCGUGGCCCAGAACUGAUGAUUACACAACUCAGUUUAAACUCUGUGAAAGUGAAGCUGCUCAGUCAUGCCUGACUCUUUGCAACCCUAUGGACUGUAGCCUACCAGGCUCCUCUGUCCAUGGGAUAUUUCAGGCAAGAGUACUGGAGUGGGUUGCCAUUUCCUUCUCCAGGGGAUCUUCCCAAGCCAGGGAUCCAGCCGGGGUCUCCCACAUUGUAGGGAGAUGCUUUGCCAUCUGAGCCACUUAAACUCUGUACUAGGGAUUAUAUAACAACAAUGUAUCCUGCUUGAGGACAGUUUCUCCUUCCUGAAAACCUUCUGAUUAAUCCUGAUAUCUUAGAAUGUAUAUUAUGGGAAUGGGUCUGGUAGGAUCUUUCUGUUAAAUUCUAGUCCUGUUAUCCUAAAAUGUUAAUUGUGGGAGUGGGUCUGGUAAAACUUUCACACACUUGAGACAUUCUUUUGAUUUAUUGUAGUAACUAAUUUAAAAAGUAUAUACCUCCCUUGCUAACACUAGCAAGGGGGGCACUCCCCACCCCCUUCUGCUGUCCAUGUCAGAAGCUUUCUCUGACCUUUUCCCACUGUCAUAACACUCUGCUACACAAACGCUCUUGAGUGAUCAAUCCUGGUCCCUGGUCCUGAAGCUAAAUCUUCUUCGGAGAUCCUGUAUCCGACAUCGUUCAUAGUAAGCUCGAUUGAAUCUAUAACAAUCUCUUAAAAGCCAAAUAUAAUCUUAAAAUAAGCUAUGCCGCUGCUAAGUCACUUCAGUCGUGUCCGACUCUGUGCGACCCCACAGAUGGCAGCCCACCAGAUUCCCCUGCCCCUGGGAUUCUCCAGGCAAGAACACUGGAGUGGGUUGCCAUUUGAAAAAUGAAAGUGAAGUCUCUCAGUUGUGUCCGACUCUUAGCGACCCCAUGGACCGCAGCCUACAAGGCUCCUCCAUCCAUGGGAUUUUCCAGGCAAGAGUACUGGAGUGGGGUGCCAUUGCCUUCUCCAAAAUAAGCUAAACGCCCUAUUAAAAUAAAAUAAAAUUCAACUGACUAAAAUUUUAAAAU
RNAcentral lists this long non-coding RNA (1454 nucleotides) under Bos indicus x Bos taurus (hybrid cattle). Its description in RNAcentral is "lncRNA (ENSBIXG00005004097.1)". The record is from RNAcentral. Lineage: Eukaryota; Metazoa; Chordata; Mammalia; Artiodactyla; Bovidae.